UACGGAGGGUGCGAGCGUUGUCCGGAAUCACUGGGCGUAAAGGGCGCGUAGGUGGCGCGGGAAGUCAACGGUGAAAGUUCGGGGCUCAACCCUGAAUCGGCCGUCGAUACUCCCGGGCUCGAGCACUGUAGAGGCAGAUGGAAUUCCGGGUGUAGCGGUGGAAUGCGUAGAGAUCCGGAAGAACACCGGUGGCGAAGGCGGUCUGCUGGGGCCCUCUUGACGCUGAGGCGCGAAAGCUGGGGGAGCGAACGGG
RNAcentral lists this ribosomal RNA (253 nucleotides) under uncultured bacterium. RNAcentral describes it as "partial 16S ribosomal RNA". It matches the Rfam family "Bacterial small subunit ribosomal RNA", at positions 524 to 776 of the family's 1533-position model. The record is from RNAcentral.